This 167-nucleotide unclassified non-coding RNA is filed under the name soil metagenome. RNAcentral's name for it is "partial internal transcribed spacer 1". The record is from RNAcentral.
CAGAGUUGCAAAACUCCCUAAACCAUUGUGGACGUUACCUAAACCAUUGCUUCGGCGGGCGGCCCGGGUCCUUCCCGGCGCCCCUCGGCCCUCGCGGGCGCCCGCCGGAGGUAAACCAAACUAUUGCAUUGUAUGGCCUCUCUGAGUCUUCUGUACUGAAUAAGUCA